CAAGUCGAACGAAUCCCACUGCUGUAGCAAUACAGUGGUGGGGGAAGUGGCGAAAGGGGCAGUAAUGCGUGGGUAACCUACCCCGGGGAUGGGCAUAGCCGUUCUAACGAGCGGGUAAUUCCCAGCGAUCCGGCGAGGGGGCAUCUUCUUGCCGGGAAAUGAGUUUCGCCUCGGGAGGGACUCACGUGCUAUUAGCUUGUUGGUGAGGUAACGGCUCACCAAGGCAAAGAUGGCUAGCGGGUGUGAGAGCACGACCCGCGCCACUGGCACUGAGACACUGGCCAGACACCUACGGGUGGCUGCAGUCGAGGAUCUUCGUCAAUGGGCGCAAGCCUGAACGAGCGACGCCGCGUGUGCGAUGAAGGCCUUCGGGUUGUAAAGCACUGUCGAGGGGAACGAAGCCGAAAGGUUGACCGAUCCCUGGAGGAAGCACGGGCUAAGUUCGUGCCAGCAGCCGCGGUAAGACGAACCGUGCGAACGUUGUUCGGAAUCACUGGGCUUAAAGGGCGCGUAGGCGGCUCGCGAGGUCGGGGGUGAAAUCCCACGGCUUAACCGUGGAAGUGCCUUCGAUACCGGCGGGCUUGAGGAAGGUAGGGGUGCGCGGAACUUCUGGUGGAGCGGAGAAAAUGCGUUUGAUAUCAGAAGGAACGCCGGCGGCGAAAGCGGCGCACUGGAUCUUUUCUGACGCUGAGGCGCGAAAGCCAGGGGAGCAAACGGGAUUAGAUACCCCGGUAGUCCUGGCCCUAAACGAUGGGUACUAGGUCGUGGGCCGGUCAUGGGCUCACAGCCGAAGCAAAAGUGUUAAGUACCCCGCCUGGGGAGUAUGGUCGCAAGGC
RNAcentral lists this ribosomal RNA (836 nucleotides) under uncultured Planctomycetota bacterium. RNAcentral describes it as "bacterial SSU rRNA". It matches the Rfam family "Bacterial small subunit ribosomal RNA", at positions 58 to 894 of the family's 1533-position model. Lineage: Bacteria; Pseudomonadati; Planctomycetota. The record is from RNAcentral.